This 365-nucleotide long non-coding RNA is filed under the name Aedes aegypti (yellow fever mosquito). RNAcentral describes it as "lncRNA AAEL025799". The record is from RNAcentral. Lineage: Eukaryota; Metazoa; Arthropoda; Insecta; Diptera; Culicidae.
AGCAUGAGUAAUGAAAAUUUCAUUUAUGUCGUUUUUCUUUAUUUGCACCGCCUGCACCGUUUUCCCACCGGUGUAGCAAAAGUUGCACCCAAACCGUUCUUUUAUUCCGCAGGUAGCACACCGUUUUUACACUCGAUUGCCACCGGUGCAGAAAAUCCUACACCCUGAUCGAGCUGGGUGUAGCAGCAAAUCAUGAAUAACAGAAACAGCUGUUCUAUCUGUUUGAAGAAUGACAUUUUGUUUUGAUUGACGCCUUCACUAAUACUAUCAUACGCUGUCAAAAUAUUGCACCGAAACCGUUCUAUUUUCCGGUGUCAAUUGUUACACUCGCACGGUGCACCGUCGGGAAUAAUCGAAAACGACAU